AAAUGUUGUUAAAAAUGUGCUCUUCUUUUCUCUUCUUAUUCUUGAGUUAUUUGCCACUCAAUCUUCCAUAACACAGACGUCUUGUGUAUUAAUCCUCUUUUACAGCCACAAUGAACCCUUAAACUCAGAAUCAGCAGGUCCGUCCAGCUGGUCGCCUGAUUCAGCUGUCUCGCCGUACUCCCUUCAUGAGGCCUGUUUCUGCUGAACUCCUGACUUUCACUUCCUCACACAUUGUUGAUCAGAGAGCUCAGACUGACCAGGCCUGACAGCACCGAAUCUGGUUACUUUUACUAAGUUUAUGAUUACAAUAAACUUCUUUUCUUGUUUACACUUGGACUCAGGUGUGGCCAUCGGUGUUGUAUAAAUUAUUAGAAAGUAUGGGUUAGGGUUAGGGUUCUCGCCUACAUAUGUCUUAUGACACCAACAGUAAUAUUUUGUAAGGCAUAAUACAUUAAUUUGGUUAUAGUAUUGUAAGGCAUAAUAUUUUAAUUAUUUUUACUAAGAGUUUUCACAACAUUACUGUGUUAUGAAAGACCUCAUAUAUAAAACCAUUACCUAAAAUUCCAUGUCAAAAAGAAUACAAAGAUUUUAGACCAAUAGCCCUUACUUCAGUAAUUGUGAAAAGACUUGAAAGAUCGAUACUUCUGCACUUAGCUCAGUUUGGUAAAAGAUAAACUUGAUCCUUGGCAGUUUGCCUAUAAGAAAGGUUGCAGAACUGAAGAUGCAGUUGCUACUUUGGUGCGUAUGUCUCAAAACAUUUAGAUCAAUCCAAUUGAAUCCAAUUUAGAUCAAUCCUAUAAGAACCCUGUUUUUAGAUUUUUCAUCAACAGGGUGUGACUAAUCUGCUUGAAUGGUGUGAGAAUAAUGAUCUUGUCAUUAACAUAAGUAAAACAGAAGAAAUUAUAUUUGGGUUGUUAUAGUAAAAUCAGUAAGUAUUUAGGUGUAACGAUUGAUGAUAUGUUAACAUGGCAAGAUCACAUUGAUGCUCUCUGCAAAAGAACAAAGCAGAGAAUCUAUUUCCUUUAAGCAAAAGCAAAAAGAUUCUUCUUUUGUUUUUUACGUCUGCAAUAAUGAGUGUACUGCAAUAUUGCAACUCUAUUUGGUAUAAAAGCCUGUCUGUUAAGCUAAAAACACAGUUGUUUAAUCGAUUAAAAAUCAGCUCAAGGAUUGUUGGCAUGGCUCAACGAGAAGCUAUAUGACUUAUUACAAUAAUUUGUUAAGACUGGAUGGCGGCGACAGUCUGCUAGAUUGUAAACAACUCCAGCUGAAAUACCUACAACAUUCUGUUUUGUUGUUUGUUUUUUUUUCUCUUUCUCUUGUUUUUUUCCCCCUUCCAUACUUCUCUCAUUUCAUUUUUAUUCAUUUAUUUAUUUAUUUUUGUCAAAACCGGAUUAUAAUAUUAUACAACCUGGAUCAUCUUGAAGAAUAUAUCGACGCGCACUACAACACACUCUGCUGCACCAUGAACAGGGACAAACCAGAUCACAACAAAAAAAGUAAAGGUAACCCCACUCCAAACUCCAAGAGACCUCGUCCCGAUUCACCUUUCAGCCCAAGUACAGCACCAUCCACAUCACCCAAACCGCCGUGCUGCACUGAGGUAAGCGACAUUUUGUUGUCAAUCGAAAAUAAACUCACCGGACUUGAUACCAGGAUUGCACUCAUAGAAGUCAUACACAAGGAAUUCCAGGAAUUGCGGUACAGCUUAGAAUUCAGCCAAGAACAGAUAGACACUCUCACUACAAAAUAACUUUUUAAAGGACUCCGUACAAGCACUUACCAUUCAACUCACUUCCGUUGUCGCCGAAAACAAAAUCAUGAAAGAAAACAUUUUGGACUUGCAAUCGCACAACAUGAGGGACAAUUUAGUUUCCACAGGCAUCCCGGAGCAAACUCCAGCCCCCGAAAAAUCAGUAAAGGAUUUCAUGAUAAAACAACUCAAAUUACCGGCGGAAACAGUACAGAGCAUCACCUUUCACCGAGUUCACCGUAUAAGAUCUAAAAA
Molecule: long non-coding RNA, 2005 nt
Organism: Tachysurus fulvidraco (yellow catfish)
Lineage: Eukaryota; Metazoa; Chordata; Actinopteri; Siluriformes; Bagridae
Exons: 2
Source: RefSeq, a predicted model, not a curated record